Molecule: transfer RNA, 84 nt
Filed under: Verrucomicrobiota bacterium
Lineage: Bacteria; Pseudomonadati; Verrucomicrobiota
Description: Verrucomicrobia bacterium (gut metagenome) tRNA-Leu
Rfam family: tRNA
About the family: Transfer RNA (tRNA) molecules are approximately 80 nucleotides in length. Their secondary structure includes four short double-helical elements and three loops (D, anti-codon, and T loops).
Source: RNAcentral
GCGCCUGUGGUGAAAUGGCAGACACGCGGGAUUUAGGUUCCCGUGCGGAAACGUGUGUGGGUUCGAAUCCCACCAGGCGCACCA